GAGUUUGAUCCUGGCUCAGAUUGAACGCUGGCGGCAUGCUUUACACAUGCAAGUCGAACGGCAGCGCGGGGCAACCUGGCGGCGAGUGGCGAACGGGUGAGUAAUAUAUCGGAACGUACCCAAGAGUGGGGGAGUAACGUAGCGAAAGUUACGCUAAUACCGCAUACGAUCUAAGGAUGAAAGUGGGGGAUCGCAAGACCUCCAUGCUCCUGGAGCGGCCGAUAUCUGAUUAGCUAGUUGGUG
This 243-nucleotide ribosomal RNA is filed under the name uncultured microorganism. RNAcentral describes it as "partial 16S ribosomal RNA". It matches the Rfam family "Bacterial small subunit ribosomal RNA", at positions 9 to 254 of the family's 1533-position model. The record is from RNAcentral.